UUUUGUGAAAGGCAAACUUAUUGAAAAAUAAGGACGCAAAGUUACAGGUCUAAGGCCAUGAUGCUAGGACGGCUGUGCUACCGCU
RNAcentral lists this non-coding RNA (85 nucleotides) under Bacillus sp. (in: firmicutes). Its description in RNAcentral is "Bacillus sp. c-di-GMP sequence". It matches the Rfam family "c-di-GMP-I riboswitch aptamer". Rfam says of the family: GEMM was predicted in a large-scale screen for bacterial structured RNA regulatory elements. Genes associated with GEMM are involved in a diverse array of functions, including chemotaxis regulation, signal transduction, secretion and chitin. The record is from RNAcentral. RNAcentral also lists the same sequence under 1 other name. Lineage: Bacteria; Bacillati; Bacillota; Bacilli; Caryophanales; Bacillaceae.